CAAUGUGUUACACCUGAGAUGAGGUCACAAUCAUUGUCCACAGGGAAAUCUAGGGGAAGGGAGUCAUUUCUGGUAUGGAGAAGACCAUCUUCAUGGAGAGACUUUUUUUGCUGAGGAGGACCAAAUUAGGCGCUCCAGCUCACUCCCAGGCUUUUCUACAGCUUAAUUCCUGGCUUAAGAACUUGCUCUCGCCUGCCUGAGGAUUGGCUCGCCCGUAAUUGUCAUUGUAGCCGGCGCUGGCUUAUGGGAGAAUUUAACGGCAGUGAUAUAAGGACAAGUGUCACAAACCAUGCCCAAGACACCUCAAGAAUUACAUCUUCAGUUCAGGAAUGGGAGAGAGAAGCUGGGAUAUAAGAGCAAGGCUAUAGAGUAUUGGGAAACAGGACAGGACCUCAAGAGCUUCUUCUAGCCUGCCAUCUAGCAAGUCUAAUCCUUCUACUACAUCAUAGCCCUUCAUAUCUUGGAAAACAGCCAUCAUGUCACUCAACACUACACCCCAUCCCCACUGCCUCUGCCUGUCUUCUCCACGCAAAAGAUCACUAACUCCUCCAUCUAGUCCUCAUUGGGUCCUUUACCAUUCUGGGUGCCUUUUUUAGAUGAUCUCUGGCUUGUUGGUGUCCUUCCUAAUUUCCAGAUUCUCCAAGCGAAGAGGGAAGAGGCCCAGGUGAAGGGUGUCGGAUUUAGCAGGAAGCAGUAGAGGGAAGUGACUCCCAACUAAGGCUCUGCAGAGGAGUCUCUGCUGGAGCCAGACAAGCCAAAGAUUUUCCCCCCUGAGGAUUCCCCUGAAUCAGAGGCUAGCCCUGGGACUCCUGGGACCCAUAAGACCAAGGGCACCCCUUCCCUUCCCCAGAAUAAAUACUGUUACCUCUGCCAGAGGAGGG
This is a long non-coding RNA of Monodelphis domestica (gray short-tailed opossum), 881 nucleotides long. RefSeq lists it as uncharacterized. NCBI's taxonomy places the organism in Eukaryota, Metazoa, Chordata, Mammalia, Didelphimorphia, Didelphidae. The record is from RefSeq and is a predicted model, not a curated record.